AUGCAUCACACACCUCAUGUGGAUCUAGCUUUCAACAGCGUAGAACACAUUAUGAGAGAUGUUGAAGUGGGCUGGUUGCUCCAUUAUAUGCAUGCUAAUGGGGCAAGUAUGUUUCUCAUUGUGGUUCACCUUCAUAUUUUCAUGGUCUAUAUCAUGCGAGUUAUAGCAGUCCUAGGGAAUUUGUUCGGUGUCUCGGAGUUGUCAUAUUCCUAUUAA
Molecule: ribosomal RNA, 216 nt
Filed under: Triticum aestivum (bread wheat)
Lineage: Eukaryota; Viridiplantae; Streptophyta; Magnoliopsida; Poales; Poaceae
Description: partial small subunit ribosomal RNA
Source: RNAcentral